CUUUGGGGCAUUGAGGGCGAGAGUGUACGACGACGAAGUGAGGAAGUGGGUGACCACAAUCGGGAUAGAGAACGUCGGGGGCAAGCUGGUGAACUCGAGGGACGGGCCGCCGACAUUCGAGCAGCCGAAGAUGACGUUGGAGAAGCUUCUAGAAUACGGGUUCAUGCUGGUGCAGGAGCAGGAGAAUGUCAAGAGGGUGCAAUUGGCUGAGACAUACUUGAAAGAUGCUGCUUUGGGAGAGGCCAACAAAGAUACCAUUGACCGAGGGAUUUUCUACGGUUAGUCGCGAAAAUCUCGUGUCAGACUGUCUAACGGCAGUCAUAAUUGCAUAUACAUUUAGACAGUCUGACAUAAAUUUUCAACGUUUUUUUCUUUUUUGGUGCAGGCAAGGCGGCUCAGCAGGUCAAUGUUCCGGUGCCGGAAGGGUGCACGGACCCGAACGCGAAGAACUUCGAUCCAACGGCGAGGAGCGAUGAUGGGAGCUGCACGUACAAACUCUAAGAAGUUUUUGUAACUCUUUUUU
RNAcentral lists this long non-coding RNA (523 nucleotides) under Salvia miltiorrhiza (redroot sage). RNAcentral's name for it is "long non-coding RNA (SMIL_LNC007377)". The record is from RNAcentral. Lineage: Eukaryota; Viridiplantae; Streptophyta; Magnoliopsida; Lamiales; Lamiaceae.